AGUGAACGCUGGCGGUAGGCCUAACACAUGCAAGUCGAACGGCAGCACAGUAAGAGCUUGCUCUUACGGGUGGCGAGUGGCGGACGGGUGAGGAAUACAUCGGAAUCUACUUUUUCGUGGGGGAUAACGUAGGGAAACUUACGCUAAUACCGCAUACGACCUACGGGUGAAAGCAGGGGAUCUUCGGACCUUGCGCGAUUGAAUGCGCCGAUGUCGGAUUAGCUAGUUGGCGGGGUAAAGGCCCACCAAGGCGACGAUCCGUAGCUGGUCUGAGAGGAUGAUCAGCCACACUGGAACUGAGACACGGUCCAGACUCCUACGGGAGGCAGCAGUGGGGAAUAGUGGACAAUGGGCGCAAUCCUGAUCCAGCCAUACCGCGUGGGUGAAGAAGGCCUUCGGGUUGUAAAGCCCUUUUGUUGGGAAAGAAAAGCAGCAGGUUAAUACCCCGCUGUUCUGACGGUACCCAAAGAAUAAGCACCGGCUAACUUCGUG
RNAcentral lists this ribosomal RNA (492 nucleotides) under uncultured bacterium. Its description in RNAcentral is "partial 16S ribosomal RNA". It matches the Rfam family "Bacterial small subunit ribosomal RNA", at positions 29 to 507 of the family's 1533-position model. The record is from RNAcentral.